Molecule: ribosomal RNA, 659 nt
Filed under: uncultured fungus
Lineage: Eukaryota; Fungi
Description: eukaryotic LSU rRNA
Rfam family: Eukaryotic large subunit ribosomal RNA
Source: RNAcentral
CCCGCUGAACUUAAGCAUAUCAAUAAGCGGAGGAAAAGAAACCAACAGGGAUUGCCUUAGUAACUGCGAGUGAAGCGGCAAAAGCUCAAAUUUGAAAUCUGGUACCAUUCGGUGCUCGAGUUGUAAUUUGGAGAGGCAACUUCGGAGAGGGCGUUGGCCUAAGUUCCUUGGAACAGGACGUCACAGAGGGUGAGAAUCCCGUGCUUGGCUGACUGUCCCUCUUCAUGUGAAGUGUCUUCGACGAGUCGAGUUGUUUGGGAAUGCAGCUCAAAAUGGGUGGUAAACUCCAUCUAAGGCUAAAUAUUGGCGAGAGGCCGAUAGCGAACAAGUACCGUGAGGGAAAGAUGAAAAGAACUUUGGAAAGAGAGUUAAACAGUACGUGAAAUUGUUGAAAGGGAAACGCUUGAAGUCAGUCACGUUGGCUGGAGAUCAACCUUGCUUCUGCUUGGUGCAUUUUCCAGUUGAUGGGCCAGCAUCAAUUUUGAUCAGUGGAUAAAGGUCAGGGGAAUGUGGCAUCUCUGGAUGUGUUAUAGCCCUUGGUUGUAUACAUUGGUUGGGAUUGAGGAACUCAGCAUGCCGCAAGGCCAGGUUUUUUUUAAACCAUGUUCAUGCUUAGGAUGCUGGCAUAAUGGCUUUAAUCGACCCGUCUUGAAACACGG